RNAcentral lists this long non-coding RNA (700 nucleotides) under Mytilus galloprovincialis (Mediterranean mussel). The record is from RNAcentral. Lineage: Eukaryota; Metazoa; Mollusca; Bivalvia; Mytilida; Mytilidae.
UUCUUGGUGAACAGGGAAAAAAUACUUCAGAAAUUAAAGAAAUGUCAAAGUACAAGUGAUAAAUCAAGCUUUAAUAUUGUCAAAACCUACUAUUUUAUGUUUACAAAAAAAAAUUAUAAUCGCUCGCCUUUACUUUUCAAGCUUCGCCUCAAAAAUUUGCAAAUUAAAUAUUUUUUUAUUAAAAUUUUCAAAUCGCUCGCUCGCCCCAAAUUUUGGAGUCCAAAAAUCCGUAGAACAAGAAAUUAAAUUGGUGUGGCCUAAAAGGUUGAUUUUUUUAAACCUUAAAUAUUGUUCGUAUCGAAAUUUUAAUUUUUUAGUUUUUGUUAAGUUAUAGAAUACUUUUAACAUACCUGUCAACUGACCCGGAUUCUGCGGGUGUGACCCGAGAUUUUCUCAAUUUUGAGGGAUCACCCGGAACACCCGCCGGGUCAUUGAAAUAACCCGGGAAUUCCGAAAAUGACCCGAUUUCACCCGUAUUUCUUAGCCUUGAGAUUGAUUGCAUAAGUAAUAUUCCUUUGAAAUACCGGCAAAUUCGUAAUUCUUCCAUUAACAGGAAGUUCAUCUAGCUAUGUAAACUGUAAACUGUCAAAUGAAGUGACCCAUUAAGUACAUGGCUUCACUUGACAGCUUUGGUGUCAAACACACUGUUAAUUAACACCAAUUACCUUAGCUUUAGGUCGUAAAUAAAUUGCAAUUUUGG